This 29-nucleotide non-coding RNA is filed under the name Bombyx mori (domestic silkworm). Lineage: Eukaryota; Metazoa; Arthropoda; Insecta; Lepidoptera; Bombycidae. The record is from RNAcentral.
AAAUGGGAAAACUUAAAGAACGCUACGGC